Molecule: transfer RNA, 69 nt
Filed under: Macrobrachium nipponense
Lineage: Eukaryota; Metazoa; Arthropoda; Malacostraca; Decapoda; Palaemonidae
Also listed under: 1 other name
Description: tRNA-Trp
Source: RNAcentral
AAGGUUUUAAGUUAACUAAACUAGUAGCCUUCAAAGUUCCCAAAAAGAGUAUUAAUCUCUUAAACCUUA